RNAcentral lists this ribosomal RNA (401 nucleotides) under uncultured bacterium. Its description in RNAcentral is "bacterial SSU rRNA". It matches the Rfam family "Bacterial small subunit ribosomal RNA", at positions 356 to 774 of the family's 1533-position model. The record is from RNAcentral.
CGGGAAUUUUGGGCAAUGGGCGAAAGCCUGACCCAGCAACGCCGCGUGAGGGAUGAAGUAUUUCGGUAUGUAAACCUCGAAAGAAUGGGAAGAAUAAAUGACGGUACCAUUUAUAAGCUCCGGCUAACUACGUGCCAGCAGCCGCGGUAAUACGUAGGGAGCAAGCGUUGUUCGGAUUUACUGGGCGUAAAGGGCGCGUAGGCGGCGCGGUAAGUCACUUGUGAAAUCUCUGAGCUUAACUCAGAACGGCCAAGUGAUACUGCUGUGCUAGAGUGCGGAAGAGGCAACCGGAAUUCUUGGUGUAGCGGUGAAAUGCGUAGAUAUCAAGAGGAACACCUGAGGCGAAGGCGGGUUGCUGGGCCGACACUGACGCCGAUGCGCGAAAGCCAGGGGAGCAAACG